RNAcentral lists this ribosomal RNA (250 nucleotides) under uncultured Planctomycetia bacterium. RNAcentral's name for it is "partial 16S ribosomal RNA". It matches the Rfam family "Bacterial small subunit ribosomal RNA", at positions 524 to 773 of the family's 1533-position model. Lineage: Bacteria; Pseudomonadati; Planctomycetota; Planctomycetia. The record is from RNAcentral.
GACGAACCGUGCGAACGUUGUUCGGAUUCACUGGGCUUAAAGGGCGCGUAGGCGGGCCGCCAAGUCAGGGGUGAAAUCCUCCAGCUUAACUGGAGAACAGCCUCUGAUACUGGUGGUCUGGAGGAAGGUAGGGGCAUGCGGAACUAAUGGUGGAGCGGUGAAAUGCGUAGAUAUCAUUAGGAACGCCGGUGGCGAAAGCGGCGUGCUGGACCUUUUCUGACGCUGAGGCGCGAAAGCCAGGGGAGCAAAC